This 429-nucleotide ribosomal RNA is filed under the name Bacteroidota bacterium. Its description in RNAcentral is "Bacteroidetes bacterium partial 16S ribosomal RNA". It matches the Rfam family "Bacterial small subunit ribosomal RNA", at positions 355 to 776 of the family's 1533-position model. The record is from RNAcentral. Lineage: Bacteria; Pseudomonadati; Bacteroidota.
UAGGGAAUCUUCCCCAAUGGACGCAAGUCUGACGGAGCAACGCCGCGUGAGUGAAGAAGGAUUUCGGUUCGUAAAACUCUGUUGUUAGAGAAGAACAGCGCAUAGAGUAACUGUUAUGCGUGUGACGGUAUCUAACCAGAAAGCCACGGCUAACUACGUGCCAGCAGCCGCGGUAAUACGUAGGUGGCAAGCGUUGUCCGGAUUUAUUGGGCGUAAAGCGAGCGCAGGCGGUCAAUUAAGUCUGAUGUGAAAGCCCCCGGCUCAACCGGGGAGGGUCAUUGGAAACUGGUUGACUUGAGUGCAGAAGAGGAGAGUGGAAUUCCAUGUGUAGCGGUGAAAUGCGUAGUUAUAUGGAGGAACACCAGUGGCGAAGGCGACUCUCUGGUCUGUAACUGACGCUGAGGCUCGAAAGCGUGGGUAGCAAACAGG